CCUACGGGAGGCAGCAGUGGGGAAUAUUGGUCAAUGGACGAGAGUCUGAACCAGCCAAGUAGCGUGAAGGAUGACUGCCCUAUGGGUUGUAAACUUCUUUUAUAUGGGAAUAAAACGUUCCACGUGUGGGAUUUUGUAUGUACCAUCUGAAUAAGGAUCGGCUAACUCCGUGCCAGCAGCCGCGGUAAUACGGAGGAGCCGAGCGUUAUCCGGAUUUAUUGGGUUUAAAGGGAGAGUAGGUGGAUUGUUAAGUCAGUUGUGAAAGUUUGCGGCUCAACCGUAAAAUUGCAGUUGAAACUGGCAGGCUUGAGUACAGUAGAGGUGGGCGGAAUUCGUGGUGUAGCGGUGAAAUGCUUAGAUAUCACGAAGAACUCCGGUUGCGAAGGCAGUUCACUGGACUGCAACUGACACUGAGGCUCGAAAGUGUGGGUAUCAAACAGGAUUAGAUACCCGAGUAGUC
Molecule: ribosomal RNA, 460 nt
Filed under: uncultured bacterium
Lineage: Bacteria
Description: partial 16S ribosomal RNA
Rfam family: Bacterial small subunit ribosomal RNA
Source: RNAcentral